AACGAACGCUGGCGGCAUGCCUAACACAUGCAAGUCGAACGAGACCUUCGGGUCUAGUGGCGCACGGGUGCGUAACGCGUGGGAACCUGCCCUUAGGUUCGGAAUAACUCCCCGAAAGGGGUGCUAAUACCGGAUAAUGUCUUCGGACCAAAGAUUUAUCGCCUUUGGAUGGGCCCGCGUUGGAUUAGCUAGUUGGUAGGGUAAAAGCCUACCAAGUCGACGAUCCAUAGCUGGUCUGAGAGGAUGAUCAGCCACACUGGGACUGAGACACAGCCCAGACUCCUACGGGAGGCAGCAGUGGGGAAUAUUGGACAAUGGGCGAAAGCCUGAUCCAGCAAUGCCGCGUGAGUGAUGAAGGCCUUAGGGUUGUAAAGCUCUUUUACCCGGGAUGAUAAUGACAGUACCGGGAGAAUAAGCUCCGGCUAACUCCGUG
This 433-nucleotide ribosomal RNA is filed under the name uncultured bacterium. RNAcentral describes it as "partial 16S ribosomal RNA". It matches the Rfam family "Bacterial small subunit ribosomal RNA", at positions 29 to 507 of the family's 1533-position model. The record is from RNAcentral.